Molecule: long non-coding RNA, 866 nt
Filed under: Homo sapiens (human)
Lineage: Eukaryota; Metazoa; Chordata; Mammalia; Primates; Hominidae
Description: HSALNT0314307
Source: RNAcentral
UCCCAAGUAGUUGGGACUACAGGCCCACACUACUAUACCCAGACCAACAGAUAUUCUAGCAUAUAAGAAAUGUGAUGCUCUCUGUACAUUGAAGAGUUGGUCUAAUAUUUGGCCUGGUGGAUACAGAAAUUGCCUGUCUGCUCCGCUCUGGUUGAAGAAACCAGUCCGACUGUCUCUGAGGCUAUGGAGCAGUCCAUCAAGAAUGAAAGCCCUCGGCUGGCACGUUGGCUCACACCUGUAAUACCAGCGCUUUGGGAGGCUGAGGCAGGUGGAUCACUUGAAGUCACGAAUUCGACACCAGCAUGGCCAACAUGGUGAAACCCUCUCUCUACAGAAAAUAGAAAAAUUAGCUGGGCCUAGUGACGUGUGCCUGUAAUCCCAGCUACUCAGGAGGCUGAGGCAGGAGAAUCACUUGAUCCUGGGAGGCAGAGCUUGCAGUGGGGAGCUGAGAUCACACCACUGCCUUCCAGCCUGGGCGACAGAGUGAGACUCUCUCAAAAAAAAAAAAAAAAAAAAAAAAAAGAAAGUCCUCAUGAUGGCCUCAAGCACAUUGGUCCCUGAAGAGAGUCAAGGAAGGCCCACUUUACUCUGCACUGCAAAGCAGGCAGGUGGACAGGAUGAGAAGUGGAUUCAGUGAGAGGCAUUGACUCAAAGGAUUUUCUGCCUAAUGGUCGGUUCAGCAGAAGAUUAAACUGAGCACAGCAUCCUGUUCCCUCAAACUAUCUGAUAGGAUCUCUCUCUCUCUGCCACCCAGGCCAGAGCGCAGUUGAUGCAGGUCAGGGGAGCCCCCCAGUGGAGCAUAGUGUGUCCAGAACUGGUGGGUUGUUGGUCUCACUGACUUCAAGAAUGAAGCCACGGACCCUCGG